UAAUAAUAGGAAUUCUUUUGACCAUUAGGUUCUCUUUGACAUUUCUUCUUCUACUUUGUCACGGGCUGAUAAAAGAGGUACAGGCAUACCAUACAAAAUACAACACAUCUCCCGAAGAGUAGACAAGUCUUAAAUAUAAAAAAAUCUGCAAGAUAAUCCUUCCUUACAAGACGAUGUCCUCUCCUGACCAUUUAGAUGAGUUUCCGCUAUGCCUGUGAGUAGAGUUCUUUGCUUUCUCACAAAACUGUUGGGAAAUUGAGAAAAAAAAACA
Xenopus tropicalis (tropical clawed frog) is the source of this 271-nucleotide long non-coding RNA. RefSeq lists it as uncharacterized. The record is from RefSeq and is a predicted model, not a curated record. NCBI's taxonomy places the organism in Eukaryota, Metazoa, Chordata, Amphibia, Anura, Pipidae. The transcript has 2 exons.